CAAUUAAAGCGGUACGCGAGCUGGGUUCAAAACGUCGUGAGACAGUUUGGUCCCUAUCUGCUGUGGGCGCAGGAUACUUGAGAAGAGCUGCUUCUAGUACGAGAGGACCGAAGUGGACGAACCAAUGGUGUUCCGGUUGUUCUGCCAAGAGCAUUGCCGGGUAGCUACGUUCGGAAAGGAUAAGCGUUGAAAGCAUCUAAACGCCAAGCCUCCUUCAAGAUAAAGUAUCCCUAUGAGAUGACCUGAAGACUACAGGGUUGAUAGGCUGGGUGUGUAAGUGUAGUAAUACAUUGAGCUAACCAGUACUAAUACAUCCAUAGGCUUGAUCUU
This 330-nucleotide ribosomal RNA is filed under the name Chlamydiia bacterium. RNAcentral describes it as "partial 23S ribosomal RNA". It matches the Rfam family "Bacterial large subunit ribosomal RNA", at positions 2585 to 2925 of the family's 2925-position model. The record is from RNAcentral. Lineage: Bacteria; Pseudomonadati; Chlamydiota; Chlamydiia.